Molecule: ribosomal RNA, 253 nt
Filed under: uncultured bacterium
Lineage: Bacteria
Description: partial 16S ribosomal RNA
Rfam family: Bacterial small subunit ribosomal RNA
Source: RNAcentral
UACGUAGGGUGCGAGCGUUAUUCGGAAUUACUGGGCGUAAAGCGUGCGCAGGCGGUUUGCUAAGUCAGGUGUGAAAUCCCCGGGCUUAACCUGGGAACUGCGCUUGUUACUGGCAGGCUUGAGUGUGGCAGAGGGGGGUGGAAUUCCACGUGUAGCAGUGAAAUGCGUAGAGAUGUGGAGGAACACCGAUGGCGAAGGCAGCCCCCUGGGCUAACACUGACGCUCAUGCACGAAAGCGUGGGGAGCAAACAGG